RNAcentral lists this unclassified non-coding RNA (374 nucleotides) under uncultured bacterium. RNAcentral describes it as "contains 16S-23S intergenic spacer region". The record is from RNAcentral.
UCCGGUUUGUCACCGGCAGUCUCAUUAGAGUGCCCUUUCGUAGCAACUAAUGACAAGGGUUGCGCUCGUUGCGGGACUUAACCCAACAUCUCACGACACGAGCUGACGACAGCCAUGCAGCACCUGUGUUACGGCUCCCUUUCGGGCACGCCUAAAUCUCUUCAGGCUUCCGUACAUGUCAAGGGUAGGUAAGGUUUUUCGCGUUGCAUCGAAUUAAUCCACAUCAUCCACCGCUUGUGCGGGUCCCCGUCAAUUCCUUUGAGUUUUAGCCUUGCGGCCGUACUCCCCAGGCGGGGAACUUAAUGCGUUAGCUUCGGCACGGACGGAGUCGACACCGCCCACACCUAGUUCCCAUCGUUUACGGCGUGGACUAC